UACGUAGGGGGCUAGCGUUGUCCGGAUUUAUUGGGCGUAAAGAGCGUGUAGGCGGCCAGAUAGGUCUGCUGUGAAAACUCUGGGCUCAACCCAGAGCCUGCAUCUGAAACUGGAGAGCUAGGGUUUUGGAGGGGAAAGCGGAAUUCCUGGUGUAGCGGUGAAAUGCGUAGAUAUCUGGAGGAAUACCGGUGGCGAAGGCGGCAUCCUGGACCGGCAUUGACGCUGAGUGAGCGAAAGCCAGGGGAGCAAACGGG
This 254-nucleotide ribosomal RNA is filed under the name uncultured bacterium. Its description in RNAcentral is "partial 16S ribosomal RNA". It matches the Rfam family "Bacterial small subunit ribosomal RNA", at positions 524 to 776 of the family's 1533-position model. The record is from RNAcentral.